AGAGUUUGAUCCUGGCUCAGAUUGAACGCUGGCGGCAUGCCUUACACAUGCAAGUCGAACGGUAACAGGGAGCUUGCUCCGCUGACGAGUGGCGAACGGGUGAGUAAAGUAUCGGAACGUACCUUUCAGUGGGGGAUAACGUAGCGAAAGUUACGCUAAUACCGCAUAUUCUGUGAGCAGGAAAGCAGGGGAUCGCAAGACCUUGCGCUGAUUGAGCGGCCGAUAUCAGAUUAGCUAGUUGGUGAGGUAAAGGCUCACCAAGGCGACGAUCUGUAGCGGGACUGAGAGGAUGAUCCGCCACACUGGAACUGAGACACGGUCCAGACUCCUACGGGAGGCAGCAGUGGGGAAUUUUGGACAAUGGGGGCAACCCUGAUCCAGCCAUGCCGCGUGAGUGAAGAAGGCCUUCGGGUUGUAAAGCUCUUUCGGCCGGGAAGAAAUCGCAUGGGUUAAUACCCUGUGCGGAUGACGGUACCGGCAUAAGAAGCACCGGCUAACUACGUGCCAGCAGCCGCGGUAAUACGUAGGGUGCGAGCGUUAAUCGGAAUUACUGGGCGUAAAGCGUGCGCAGGCGGUUUUGUAAGACAGGCGUGAAAUCCCCGGGCUCAACCUGGGAACUGCGCUUGUGACUGCAAGGCUAGAGUAUGGCAGAGGGGGGUGGAAUUCCACGUGUAGCAGUGAAAUGCGUAGAGAUGUGGAGGAACACCAAUGGCGAAGGCAGCCCCCUGGGCCAAUACUGACGCUCAUGCACGAAAGCGUGGGUAGCAAACAGGAUUAGAUACCCUGGUAGUCCACGCCCU
This 800-nucleotide ribosomal RNA is filed under the name uncultured Dechloromonas sp. RNAcentral describes it as "bacterial SSU rRNA". It matches the Rfam family "Bacterial small subunit ribosomal RNA", at positions 8 to 803 of the family's 1533-position model. Lineage: Bacteria; Pseudomonadati; Pseudomonadota; Betaproteobacteria; Rhodocyclales; Azonexaceae. The record is from RNAcentral.